Molecule: ribosomal RNA, 464 nt
Filed under: uncultured bacterium
Lineage: Bacteria
Description: partial 16S ribosomal RNA
Rfam family: Bacterial small subunit ribosomal RNA
Source: RNAcentral
CUACGGGCGGCCGCAGCUAAGAAUCUUCCGCAAUGGGCGAAAGCCUGACGGAGCGACGCCGCGUGGGUGAUGAAGGCCGAGAGGUUGUAAAGCCCUUUUCUGCUUGAGGAAUAAGCAUCGGAGGGAAUGCCGGUGUGAUGACGGUAGGGCAGGAAUAAGCCCCGGCUAAUUACGUGCCAGCAGCCGCGGUAACACGUAUGGGGCGAGCGUUGUUCGGAAUCAUUGGGCGUAAAGGGCGUGUAGGCGGAAAUGCAAGUCUGGUGUGAAAGACCGCAGCUUAACUGCGGGACCGCGCUGGAAACUGCAUAUCUCGAGUUCCGGAGGGGGAGUUGGAAUUCCUGGUGUAGGGGUGAAAUCUGUUGAUAUCAGGAAGAACAUCGGUGGCGAAGGCGAACUCCUGGACGAGAACUGACGCUGAGGCGCGAAAGCGUGGGGAGCGAACAGGAUUAGAUACCCUUGUAGUC